This 286-nucleotide long non-coding RNA is filed under the name Phoenix dactylifera (date palm). Its description in RNAcentral is "long non-coding RNA (PDAC_LNC018375)". The record is from RNAcentral. Lineage: Eukaryota; Viridiplantae; Streptophyta; Magnoliopsida; Arecales; Arecaceae.
CAGAUACAUUCAAUAAAAUCAAAAAACAUCAUGUCUCAGUAUUUUGGACAACUCUUUCUCCUCAGCAUAUAGGAUAUCUUCAUAGUAACAGAUCACAUAAAAAGCCACUCAAUUCGUAGCUUCACCAGUUUUUCUGAACACAUUUCUCAUCUAAAAAGCCACAAUCAUAAAAAAUAAAAAUAUUUAAAUGCAGCAAACCAGUUUUGGCCUGUUUGCACCACAAGUCACAAUGAUACCGCCUAACAAAUAUCAUGCAACAGAGUGGAACAAAAUCUACUUCCCAGCA